This 287-nucleotide ribosomal RNA is filed under the name Solanum tuberosum (potato). RNAcentral describes it as "rRNA SSU_rRNA_eukarya". It matches the Rfam family "Eukaryotic small subunit ribosomal RNA", at positions 158 to 388 of the family's 1831-position model. Lineage: Eukaryota; Viridiplantae; Streptophyta; Magnoliopsida; Solanales; Solanaceae. The record is from RNAcentral.
CUCAUGUUAGUGUCAUCCAUGCUGCCCAUGUUAUCAUCCCAGUUGGGCAACACCAUGCUUGGUUGAUAGCUUGGAGCGUGGGAGGCCUACUAAGCAAGGAGAAGCAAUUGAAGAUGUGCUCCAUUCGGCGAGCUGAGUUCCAAAUUGGAGACUUGCCAAACCUCCUUCGCACGGCCAUCGUGCCGGCGACGCAUCAUUCAAAUUUCUGCCCUAUCAACUUUCGAUGGUAGGAUAGUGGCCUACCAUGGUGGUGACGGGUGACGGAGAAUUAGAGUUCGAUUCCGGAG